UAUGAUGUUUACUUUCCGAAAUGUAAAAGAAUCUUCCUAUUCUCCUUACUUAAGAUCCUAUCAGUAUGUACAGUAAAUACAUGUUCUUGACGUAAAUAUAUGUUAAAAACCAUGAUUGGUCAAAGGUUGAUGCAAACCAUAUAACGGUUAGGGAUGUCUUAUUUUGUACACUCCGACAAACACAGAGAUGUCAAGCAAAUAAUUAAACCGAAAGGAUACAUGAACAUAUAUUUUGGGUAUUAGUGAUUGAGAAUUGCCCGUUUAUUGGGUCAUGUGUGGAGGUGCACUAUAGUUAGGUGAAGAAGACUUGAUGCAUCAUUUUCACUAAAGGUGUUCAAAAAGAAUUAUCAGUCUUAUAUCUGCAUAGAAAUUAUUUUUAUAAAAAGAAUAAACCAAGAUAAAAAGAAGAUAUAAUAAUGCAUAAAUUUUCUUAUUUUAUUGAAGAUGAGAAAAGGUGUGAUUGUCUUGUUGUAGGGACCAACUUAUUUUGAGGUGUUCCAAAGAGACCUUCACUUGCUUUUCUAUUUUUCUCAAAUUGAAGUUAUCCAGAUCAGACCAAAACAAAAAAAUGAACCAUGGCUAUAGUGGAUGAGAUGUGAACUAAUCAGCUGGCAAAUUUGAGAACUGGACAAAC
RNAcentral lists this long non-coding RNA (634 nucleotides) under Brassica napus (rape). RNAcentral describes it as "long non-coding RNA (BNAP_LNC007280)". The record is from RNAcentral. Lineage: Eukaryota; Viridiplantae; Streptophyta; Magnoliopsida; Brassicales; Brassicaceae.